Molecule: long non-coding RNA, 2607 nt
Filed under: Homo sapiens (human)
Lineage: Eukaryota; Metazoa; Chordata; Mammalia; Primates; Hominidae
Description: HSALNT0225204
Source: RNAcentral
UUAGGAUGAGGUCCCUCCAUAAAAAUGCAAGGGGAUCAGUUAAACUUUCACUUCUAAUUUAUUCAUGAAGGAGCGAGGUCUUGCCUGGCCGUGCUGUGCGUCAUCCUGUCAGAAUGACUUUCUCUCUUGUUGAGAAGGGAGAUGGAAAGACAGGAAAUCGGGGGCUCCAGCUCUCCUAGUAAUUGCUGUGAGAAUAAAAAUCAGGAUUAUUUGUGCCCAUGAGGGAAACACGAAGGAUUGUCAGUAUUCAUUUGCUAUCAGAACUGCCUUUGAACUUCAGGGAAGCCGCCAUCUUGUUUUAGUUCACUCCUCUAAAGCACAGUGUCUGCAACAUGAAACACUAGUAAGACACAGUUAUCCAGAAAGAGCCCUAGAGAUGGAUAAGGAACCUGUUGGAAUGCUCUGAUAUUAAGAAAAAAAAAAUUAAAUUCAAAACCAAAAACAAGUCACAAGAAAAUUUGGAAAACAGGCUUUUCCUAUCCGGAUGAACAGAGAUAAUUUGUGUCGAUGGAUGUUCUGUGAAGGCCUAUUGUGUCGAGCAGCGUAUUAAAACAUAAACAUGGCUCUUCCCCCAAGAAACUUACAUUUCAGUAAGGGAGCCUGGCCAAAAUGGAAAACUGCAAGGUUCAAAUCCUGGAGUGCAGAAGAAGCAUUAGGCAUUGACCCUGUGGCUUCCUAAUAGAUCCGCAAAGUGCUUUGUUCCUGGAAAUCAUCCGAUGAGUAGUUCAGUGCUAUUGUAUAUCUUGUUAGAGCAGCCGAAGUGCCACAAAAUGAACUAAAAUCUCCCUGCAGAGUUGCUGUAUCAUAUGCUGAGAACAUUCGGAACUUUCAACAAAUUCAUGUUACGAUCCUGGGUAGCCAUGGUUAAAUCUGUACAGGGGUUAAAUGAGAAAUAUGAGCCUGCUGUUAAGUGUCUUCUGAGAGUGACAAAGCUCUGGCCAUAAGGGAUGGGAGAGGAGGGAUUUCUUCUCAGCCUUCCAGCCCUUUCCAGCUGUAUCACAGACAGGAGACAUAAUGCAAAGGGGCUCAGACAUUGACUUCCUGGAUCUUUGCGGCCCCAGGCAUUGACCCCCUCUACCUGGCUUUUCCUACGCUGUAAAAUGAGGAUCCUCCUAUAUUAUGGAGUUUAUUGUGACAACUAAAUAGCUGAGAAGAAGGACAUCUCAUUUGUUUUAACUAUGCAGUUUCCUGUCUAUCUAUCUAUCUAUCCCAUCAAUCUAUCAAUCAAUCUAUCAAUCUGUCUAUCCCUAUCUAUCUAUCCAUCUAUCUAUCUAUAUCUGUCUAUAUCUAUCUAACAUUUAUCUAUCAUCUAUUCAUCUAUCAGCUAUCUUCUGUCUAUCAAUAUUUCAAUCAAUCUCUCUAUCCCUAUCAAUUAAUCUAUCUACCUACCUAUCAACUAUCCAUCUAUCUCUAUCAUCUAUCAUCUAUUCAUCUAUCAUUUAUCAUCUGUCAAUCCAUCUUCCUACUAUCUAUCAAAAGCAACACAUUUUCUUCCUGACUUUAAAAAUAUUUAAGUGGGCCGGGAGGAUGGCUCACGCCUGUAAUCCCAGCACUUUGGGAGGCCUAGGCGGGCGGAUCACGAGGUCAGGAGAUGGAGACCAUCCUGGCUAACAUGGUGAAACCCCGUCUCUACUAAAAAUACAAAAAAAAAAAAAAAUUAACCAGGCGUGGUGGAGGGCGCCUGUAGUCCCAGCUACUCGGGAGACUGAGGCAGGAGAAUGGGGAGAACCCGGGAGGCGGAGCUUGCAGUGAGCCGAGAUCAUGCCACUGCACUCCAGCCUGGGCGACAGAGCAAGACUCCAUCUCAAAAGAAACAAAAACAAAAACGUAAGUGAUACUCUGUCCACUCUUUUGAUUGAGGAGGUCUGAUUUUCAGGCUUUGGAUUUUAUUAUGUCUUCAAUAUAAUAAUUGUUCCAUGUAUCUCUCCUAAAUUGCCAUUUGAAAAACUGCUUUUCUGAAGUUUAAAGUGCACAUUUUGAUACAUCUUGACACAUAUAUACACCCAUGAAAUCAUCACCACAAUCAGGAUAGUAGAUCUAUCCAUUACCGCCAAGGUUUACUUGCACUCCUUUGAACUUUCUCCCCACUCCUCACCCCCUGCCUAUCCCCAAUCCUUAAGCAAUCACUGAUUUGCUUUCUGUCACUAUCAGUUAAUUUGAAUUUUUCAGAAAUGUAUAUAAAUAAAAUCAUUCGACGUGUAUGCUCUUUUUCUGUUCACCCGGUACAAUUUGAGAUUUAGCCAUGUUUUUGCAUGUGUCAAUAGUUUAUUUUUUUGUUGCUCAGUACUAAUCCAUUUUAUGGAUACAGAGAAAUGUAUUAAUGCAAUCCCAUAUUAAUAGGCAUUUGGGUUGUUUCCAGGUUUGGGCUGUUACAAAUAAAGCUGCUAUGAACAUUUUUGUGCAAGUCUUUUUAUGAGUAUAUUCCUUUAUUUCUUUUGGGUAAAUACCUAGAAGUGGGAUGGGUGUAUCACAUGGUACGUAAAUAUUUAAAUUUUUAAGAGAAUGCCAAACUGUUUUUCAAAGUAAUUGCACCAUUUUAUAUUCCCACCAGGAAUAUAUGAGAAUUCCAGUUCCUCUACAUACUCACAGACAUAUUGUAUGGUCAGU